GAUCCAACUCGUGCAAGUCCUUCAACACCUUUGCCUACAGGUCGUGGGCUUUUCUUGUCCACAGUAGGCAGAGGGACACUAUUGCUUUUCCACUUAACUUUGACGUUCUCCUGAAGAACUGUUCUGUUCAAUGCAAUAAAAUAUCGUUCCAGGAUAACAAGCCUCUGCUUUAGCCGCAUAGCUGAAAGAGCUGUUGUGGCAGUUUGUGUGGCCAGAGUUUGUUGUUCCUUCACUAGUACAUGUAGGCAUUCUUUCAAUUCAUUCACAUCUGGUUGUUUGCCCCAUACCCAACUCUCAACAAUCGAUCUGGCCCUGUAAGUGGGUGGCGGAGCCUCUUCUUCAUCUUUCUUUUCUUUGUCAUUUUGCUCUUCUUUCUUUGAUGCAGUUUGGCAUUCAGUGCUAUCAUCUUUCCUUGGAGGUAGUUCACCAUUCUGUGUAAAUUCUGUUCCAGGAUACACGAUCUCCCCAUCUUUUACCAUUUCAUUCCACAAACCACAGAGUCCGUCUCGUGUAAAAGCAAGCUGUAGGUCUGUCUUCAGCCAUUUGGAGUCAAACCUGGCCUGAGCAGCCAGACAGAAAGAUUCCGAGGACAUCUUCCCUUCUCCAGCCUCCUCUCCAGGCUGGCCGAGCAGCCCCACCGAGCGCUCGCGAUGAUGAUAAUGAUGGUGGUGGUGGCGGCGGCUCCCCGGCCCGUUCUGUCACCACCCGCUCGGCCCCGGAUUAUCCUCGCCCCUCCUUCCCA
This 742-nucleotide long non-coding RNA is filed under the name Gallus gallus (chicken). Lineage: Eukaryota; Metazoa; Chordata; Aves; Galliformes; Phasianidae. The record is from RNAcentral.